Molecule: small nuclear RNA, 103 nt
Organism: Schistocerca gregaria
Lineage: Eukaryota; Metazoa; Arthropoda; Insecta; Orthoptera; Acrididae
Source: RefSeq, a predicted model, not a curated record
UUGUUUCAGUGGCAAAUAUACUAAAAUUUGAAAGAUUCACAGAAGAUUAGUAUGGCCGCUGCGAAAGGAUUACACGAAAAAUCAUGAAGCGUUCCACGUUAAA